GGGGAUAUAGCUCAGUGGCACAGUGUCUGCCUGGCAAGCACAAGGUCCUGAGUUCAAUUCUCGGUACCA
This 69-nucleotide transfer RNA is filed under the name Cavia porcellus (domestic guinea pig). It matches the Rfam family "tRNA". Rfam says of the family: Transfer RNA (tRNA) molecules are approximately 80 nucleotides in length. Lineage: Eukaryota; Metazoa; Chordata; Mammalia; Rodentia; Caviidae. The record is from Rfam by way of RNAcentral.